GAGAAUUGUAUUAUAUGUAAUCCACGAAAAGAUACAACCCUCAGCAGAAAAUAACAUGGGAAUCUACAAAGAAAUGGAGAUACCACAUUGGUUGUUGCACUUGGACCAGUUAUGUGAACUGUAAAAUAUUUAGACAAUUAAAAAUAAUACUGUACAGUGACUACAAAUAAGUUAACCCACACCAAUCGAUCAACCACGUUUUUAAACCUCAUUGGCUAAAGGCGUUAAACCAUGUUGUCGACGGUUGAAUCAUUUUUGAAUACUGAUGAUUACAGAAAACUGCGGAAGUAUAAUUGAGAUAAUAAUAAAUUGAAAUGCUGCUCA
Long non-coding RNA from Copidosoma floridanum, 324 nucleotides. NCBI's taxonomy places the organism in Eukaryota, Metazoa, Arthropoda, Insecta, Hymenoptera, Encyrtidae. The record is from RefSeq and is a predicted model, not a curated record.